This 762-nucleotide ribosomal RNA is filed under the name uncultured bacterium. Its description in RNAcentral is "bacterial SSU rRNA". It matches the Rfam family "Bacterial small subunit ribosomal RNA", at positions 62 to 845 of the family's 1533-position model. The record is from RNAcentral.
UCGAGCGGAAGGGCCCUUUCGGGGGUACUCGAGCGGCGGACGGGUGAGUGACACGUGAGUAAUCUGCCCUGGACUCUGGGAUAGCCACCGGAGACGGUGAUUAAUACCGGAGAUGACCACUCUAGGCAUCUAGUGGUGGUGGAAAGUUUUUCGGUCCAGGAUGUGCUCGCGGCCUAUCAGCUUGUUGGUGAGGUAAUGGCUCACCAAGGCUUUGACGGGUAGCCGGCCUGAGAGGGUGACCGGUCACACUGGGACUGAGACACGGCCCAGACUCCUACGGGAGGCAGCAGUGGGGAAUAUUGGACAAUGGGCGGAAGCCUGAUCCAGCAACGCCGCGUGAGGGAUGACGGCCUUCGGGUUGUAAACCUCUUUCAGUACCGACGAAGCGAAAGUGACGGUAGGUACAGAAGAAGGACCGGCCAACUACGUGCCAGCAGCCGCGGUAAUACGUAGGGUCCGAGCGUUGUCCGGAAUUAUUGGGCGUAAAGGGCUCGUAGGCGGUUUGUCGCGUCGGGAGUGAAAACAGCGGGCUUAACUCGUUGCUUGCUUUCGAUACGGGCAGACUAGAGGUAUGCAGGGGAGAAUGGAAUUCCUGGUGUAGCGGUGAAAUGCGCAGAUAUCAGGAGGAACACCGGUGGCGAAGGCGGUUCUCUGGGCAUUACCUGACGCUGAGGAGCGAAAGUGUGGGGAGCGAACAGGAUUAGAUACCCUGGUAGUCCACACCGUAAACGUUGGGCGCUAGGUGUGGGGGUCCUUUCCACG